This 1343-nucleotide ribosomal RNA is filed under the name uncultured bacterium. RNAcentral describes it as "16S ribosomal RNA". It matches the Rfam family "Bacterial small subunit ribosomal RNA", at positions 28 to 1378 of the family's 1533-position model. The record is from RNAcentral.
GACGAACGCUGGCGGCGUGCUUAACACAUGCAAGUCGAACGGAAAGGCCCUGCUUUUGUGGGGUGCUCGAGUGGCGAACGGGUGAGUAACACGUGAGUAACCUGCCCUUGACUUUGGGAUAACUUCAGGAAACUGGGGCUAAUACCGGAUAGGAGCUCCUGCUGCAUGGUGGGGGUUGGAAAGUUUCGGCGGUUGGGGAUGGACUCGCGGCUUAUCAGCUUGUUGGUGGGGUAGUGGCUUACCAAGGCUUUGACGGGUAGCCGGCCUGAGAGGGUGACCGGCCACAUUGGGACUGAGAUACGGCCCAGACUCCCACGGGAGGCAGCAGUGGGGAAUAUUGCACAAUGGGCGGAAGCCUGAUGCAGCAACGCCGCGUGCGGGAUGACGGCCUUCGGGUUGUAAACCGCUUUCGCCUGUGACGAAGCGUGAGUGACGGUAAUGGGUAAAGAAGCACCGGCUAACUACGUGCCAGCAGCCGCGGUGAUACGUAGGGUGCGAGCGUUGUCCGGAUUUAUUGGGCGUAAAGGGCUCGUAGGUGGUUGAUCGCGUCGGAAGUGUAAUCUUGGGGCUUAACCCUGAGCGUGCUUUCGAUACGGGUUGACUUGAGGAAGGUAGGGGAGAAUGGAAUUCCUGGUGGAGCGGUGGAAUGCGCAGAUAUCAGGAGGAACACCAGUGGCGAAGGCGGUUCUCUGGGCCUUUCCUGACGCUGAGGAGCGAAAGCGUGGGGAGCGAACAGGCUUAGAUACCCUGGUAGUCCACGCUGUAAACGGUGGGUACUAGGUGUGGGGUCCAUUCCACGGGUUCCGUGCCGUAGCUAACGCUUUAAGUACCCCGCCUGGGGAGUACGGCCGCAAGGCUAAAACUCAAAGGAAUUGACGGGGCCCCGCACAAGCGGCGGAGCAUGCGGAUUAAUUCGAUGCAACGCGUAGAACCUUACCUGGGUUUGACAUGGAUCGGGAGUGCUCAGAGAUGGGUGUGCCUCUUUUGGGGUCGGUUCACAGGUGGUGCAUGGCUGUCGUCAGCUCGUGUCGUGAGAUGUUGGGUUAAGUCCCGCAACGAGCGCAACCCUUGUUCACUGUUGCCAGCACGUUAUGGUGGGGACUCAGUGGAGACCGCCGGGGUCAACUCGGAGGAAGGUGGGGAUGACGUCAAGUCAUCACGCCCCUUAUGUCCAGGGCUUCACGCAUGCUACAAUGGCUGGUACAGAGAGUGGCGAGCCUGUGAGGGUGAGCGAAUCUCGGAAAGCCGGUCUCAGUUCGGAUUGGGGUCUGCAACUCGACCUCAUGAAGUCGGAGUCGCUAGUAAUCGCAGAUCAGCAACGCUGCGGUGAAUACGUUCCCGGG